AUUGAACGCUGGCGGCAUGCCUUACACAUGCAAGUCGAACGGCAGCACGGGAGCAAUCCUGGUGGCGAGUGGCGAACGGGUGAGUAAUAUAUCGGAACGUGCCCAGUCGUGGGGAUAACGUAGCGAAAGCUACGCUAAUACCGCAUACGAUCUAUGGAUGAAAGCGGGGGAUCGCAAGACCUCGCGCGAUUGGAGCGGCCGAUAUCAGAUUAGGUAGUUGGUGAGGUAAAGGCUCACCAAGCCGACGAUCUGUAGCUGGUCUGAGAGGACGACCAGCCACACUGGGACUGAGACACGGCCCAGACCUCCUACGGGAGGCAGCAUGGGGGAAUUUUUGGACAAUGGGCGGCAAGCCUGAUCCAGCAAUGCCGCGUGC
This 376-nucleotide ribosomal RNA is filed under the name uncultured bacterium. RNAcentral's name for it is "bacterial SSU rRNA". It matches the Rfam family "Bacterial small subunit ribosomal RNA", at positions 30 to 404 of the family's 1533-position model. The record is from RNAcentral.